Molecule: long non-coding RNA, 304 nt
Filed under: Bos taurus (domestic cattle)
Lineage: Eukaryota; Metazoa; Chordata; Mammalia; Artiodactyla; Bovidae
Description: long non-coding RNA NONBTAT011597
Source: RNAcentral
UCCUUAUGGCAAAGGUCAUUUGCUAAAAUGAAUAUAGUUACUGUGUUUAGGGUAAUACAGUUGUAGGUGGUAAAUUUUUUUUAAUGUUUUAUCUUUUAAUUCGUUAAAUAAGUGAUCAUUGAGCUCUGCUAGAGCACUGUUAUUAUGUUAGAGCCAGAAAUUAAAAGGUUAGCAAAAACAAAGAGAGAAAACCUUCAGGAACUUCAUGGGUUUGUGAGGAGACAAGCUAUCACCACAUAAUGUGAUAAGGGUUUAGUACUGCCCUUUGAACAACUAUUUCCUGGCUACUGGCUGCCAGAAACAU